CGUAGGGUGCGAGCGUUAAUCGGAAUUACUGGGCGUAAAGCGUGCGUAGGCGGGUUUGUAAGCCAGGUGUGAAAUCCCCGGGCUUAACCUGGGAAUGGCAUUUGGGACUGCAAGGCUCGAGUGCGGCAGAGGAGACUGGAAUUCCUGGUGUAGCAGUGAAAUGCGUAGAUAUCAGGAGGAACACCGAUGGCGAAGGCAGGUCUCUGGGCUGACACUGACGCUCAUGCACGAAAGCGUGGGGAGCAAACAGG
This 251-nucleotide ribosomal RNA is filed under the name uncultured bacterium. Its description in RNAcentral is "partial 16S ribosomal RNA". It matches the Rfam family "Bacterial small subunit ribosomal RNA", at positions 526 to 776 of the family's 1533-position model. The record is from RNAcentral.